ACACAGGUGCUGCAUUGGCUGUCGUCAGCUCGUGUCGUGAGCUGUUGGGUUCAGUCCCGCAACGAGCGCAACCCUUGUCAUUAGUUGCUACAUUUAGUUGGGCACUCUAGUGAGACUGCCGGUGACAAACCGGAGGAAGGUGGGGAUGACGUCAAGUCCUCAUGGCCCUUAUAGGUGGGGCUACACACGUCAUACAAUGGCUGGUACAAAGGGUUGCCAACCCGCGAGGGGGAGCUAAUCCCAUAAAACCAGUCGUAGUCCGGAUCGCAGUCUGCAACUCGACUGCGUGAAGUCGGAAUCGCUAGUAAUCGUGGAUCAGAAUGUCACGGUGAAUACGUUCCCGGGCCUUGUACACACCG
This 359-nucleotide ribosomal RNA is filed under the name uncultured bacterium. RNAcentral describes it as "bacterial SSU rRNA". It matches the Rfam family "Bacterial small subunit ribosomal RNA", at positions 1032 to 1392 of the family's 1533-position model. The record is from RNAcentral.